UGUGUUUUAUAAGUCAUUUCAAAAUGUUUGAAACAAAAAUGCUAAAGCAUUGAAACUGGAUAUCAAUACCAGGUACAAUACUAAGACUACUUAUGCCCACCAGAUGAAGGCACUUGAAGAAAGAGAAGUAGAAACAUCAUUAGAGGUCUUGGCUCAAACCCACUUCAUCGUCCUAAGAAAGCAAAGUUAGGACAUCAGCCAAAUAUUAUAGAGUUUCAAACAUCACAAGUGACAUAUGAUAUAAAAACAAAUAUAAUAAUAAUGCUUCACUGAUAAAAAAUAUGAAAAUUAAAUAGUUGAGAUUCAUUUCAUGGGGUAUUGAAUAGUUUGAGAAAACUUUAAGGGAGAGAACAGAGAUAUUCCAGUGAUGCUUCUUCUUUCCAUGACGUUAUUUCCAAAGGAUUUUAUCAACCCACAAAAUAGUAAUCCCACGGUAACUUAUAUGGCAUCCCAAGAACAAAAUAAUCUAUGAAUGCCAAUGACAGAAUGAACUAUGCUAGACCUAAAUGAGAAAAUUAUGAAUUAACUACAUCAACUCCAAAAUUAAAAAAUAUGCAAAGAAAGUCAUUCAUAUAUUCAUUCAGUAACAAUCAUCUGCAGCCUAGUCGGACUUACGUCAAACAACUUGCGUACACAAAUUUAAAAGCUGCAAAAAUUGAACUGCAGCGGCACAAAUUGUUGAAUAUAAAUCUGAAUGGCUAUCGGUUCAAUAUGAAGUGGGAAAUCCUUUCUGUCGAUGCCCUUCAAAUUCUUAAGAUUAAGUGAAUUACAUUAGAGAAAAUAGGAUACGGGAAUUUAUGUACCUUGCUAUGCUGAUGCUAAGGAUAGAUGAGAUGCCUCGUUUGAUGACUUCCCAAGGGCUUCCAAGGGCGGAGACCAAUCAUGAUGUAGUUUGUGAGAUAUAUAUUAAGGUCACCAUACAUGUUCAGCAACGGAGUUUCAACAGGCGGCGAGCUCAUCGACUGCGCUCAGUGCUCGCGGCGUGCAGCCUGCGCUUGUUGUUGGCCUAAUAGUAAAAGACCUUACCAAAGAAGAGAAAAAACUUUAUAGAACGGAGAUGUAGCUCACACCUAAUAACUAAGGUAUGUGUCGGCCUUGCCACUCUCCUACAGACUACAUUAUACAGUGGUCAAGAAAUUCAUCUUCGAUUAGCACUCCAUGUUAACUAACCUGAUUGCCAUUGCAAAUAGUCAACCCAUCAAUAUCUCUUCAAAUAAAAUUCCAGAACCAGCCUUGAAUAGUCCCCAAACAAUAUACCAUAACCUGCAGCAAAAAGAGAAAAGAUAAAACAGAUUUAGGACGAGUAGGACUGAUUAGAUGGAAAAGGUAACGGGGAGGAAAAAAAUAUGCAGAUAGCAGCCUGGUUUAGAAGGCCAGUUGACAUGGUAUUGAGGGACGGACAUAGCUCAUAUACAUACCAGAGCAAAAUUGUACCGCACCUCCACCAUCCGUCACCAUCGCUCCCUCGACUGCCAUUAAUUGAUAUAUACAAAACAAGCGAGCACUUUACUCCUCGCUUGAAAAACGGCGGAUGAACUUCCCUGCAUCGGCCGGUGAGAUCUUCUCCGCAUCGAUUGGCGAGCCCCACACUGUAUGCACAAGUGAUCUGAGCAAUCGUGGGGCAUAAAACCAUGGACAGUAAAACAUGCAAGGAUUAGGUAUGGGGUAAUUAUCUGCUCAAAAGCCAUAUGGGAUUAUGAGUUGCUGAAGUAAAAUAUAAAAAAAAUCGAUUAACAGUCUCAAAGAUAUGCCCAUGUCAAUUGAUCACAACCAGCAUAUAUAUCACCUGUAUGCACUAUGCACAAGGGAUUGAGAGGAAAUCAGCAAAUGCAAUUAUUUGGUAGAAGAAGGAAUCGUACAUGAACUGGAAGGAAGUACAGGG
RNAcentral lists this long non-coding RNA (1882 nucleotides) under Triticum aestivum (bread wheat). RNAcentral describes it as "long non-coding RNA (TAES_LNC026485)". Lineage: Eukaryota; Viridiplantae; Streptophyta; Magnoliopsida; Poales; Poaceae. The record is from RNAcentral.